UAUUUCCACUUGGUGAAAAUGAACCCUGUUGCUACCCAUUUCACAUCUCAGCUGUUCAAGCCUAUAUGGUACCUGCAGGCCUCCUUACUUCCCCUGCACCACUAAUAACAGGAUUWCCUGCUAUAUCGUUACACUCAACAAAUUGGCCUGGUGGAUCGGUGGUCAAUUAAACCAGCAUCUAUUGAUUGUUCAGUAUUUCCUUGGGAGUCCAUUGGGUCUGUAGCGGUUGGGGUCCCCUCCAUUACGUCCCCAGCGGUUAGCCUSCUGGUCAGCUG
Salvelinus sp. IW2-2015 is the source of this 275-nucleotide long non-coding RNA. RefSeq lists it as uncharacterized. Lineage: Eukaryota; Metazoa; Chordata; Actinopteri; Salmoniformes; Salmonidae. The record is from RefSeq and is a predicted model, not a curated record.